Molecule: ribosomal RNA, 2868 nt
Filed under: Escherichia coli
Lineage: Bacteria; Pseudomonadati; Pseudomonadota; Gammaproteobacteria; Enterobacterales; Enterobacteriaceae
Description: partial 23S ribosomal RNA
Rfam family: Bacterial large subunit ribosomal RNA
Source: RNAcentral
AUGAAGGACGUGCUAAUCUGCGAUAAGCGUCGGUGAGGUGAUAUGAACCGUUAUAACCGGCGAUUUCCGAAUGGGGAAACCCAGUGUGUUUCGACACACUAUCAUUAACUGAAUCCAUAGGUUAAUGAGGCGAACCGGGGGAACUGAAACAUCUAAGUACCCCGAGGAAAAGAAAUCAACCGAGAUUCCCCCAGUAGCGGCGAGCGAACGGGGAGGAGCCCAGAGCCUGAAUCAGUGUGUGUGUUAGUGGAAGCGUCUGGAAAGGCGCGCGAUACAGGGUGACAGCCCCGUACACAAAAAUGCACAUACUGUGAGCUCGAUGAGUAGGGCGGGACACGUGGUAUCCUGUCUGAAUAUGGGGGGACCAUCCUCCAAGGCUAAAUACUCCUGACUGACCGAUAGUGAACCAGUACCGUGAGGGAAAGGCGAAAAGAACCCCGGCGAGGGGAGUGAAAAAGAACCUGAAACCGUGUACGUACAAGCAGUGGGAGCCUCUUAAUGGGGUGACUGCGUACCUUUUGUAUAAUGGGUCAGCGACUUAUAUUCUGUAGCAAGGUUAACCGAAUAGGGGAGCCGAAGGGAAACCGAGUCUUAACUGGGCGUUAAGUUGCAGGGUAUAGACCCGAAACCCGGUGAUCUAGCCAUGGGCAGGUUGAAGGUUGGGUAACACUAACUGGAGGACCGAACCGACUAAUGUUGAAAAAUUAGCGGAUGACUUGUGGCUGGGGGUGAAAGGCCAAUCAAACCGGGAGAUAGCUGGUUCUCCCCGAAAGCUAUUUAGGUAGCGCCUCGUGAAUUCAUCUCCGGGGGUAGAGCACUGUUUCGGCAAGGGGGUCAUCCCGACUUACCAACCCGAUGCAAACUGCGAAUACCGGAGAAUGUUAUCACGGGAGACACACGGCGGGUGCUAACGUCCGUCGUGAAGAGGGAAACAACCCAGACCGCCAGCUAAGGUCCCAAAGUCAUGGUUAAGUGGGAAACGAUGUGGGAAGGCCCAGACAGCCAGGAUGUUGGCUUAGAAGCAGCCAUCAUUUAAAGAAAGCGUAAUAGCUCACUGGUCGAGUCGGCCUGCGCGGAAGAUGUAACGGGGCUAAACCAUGCACCGAAGCUGCGGCAGCGACACUAUGUGUUGUUGGGUAGGGGAGCGUUCUGUAAGCCUGUGAAGGUGGCCUGUGAGGGUUGCUGGAGGUAUCAGAAGUGCGAAUGCUGACAUAAGUAACGAUAAAGCGGGUGAAAAGCCCGCUCGCCGGAAGACCAAGGGUUCCUGUCCAACGUUAAUCGGGGCAGGGUGAGUCGACCCCUAAGGCGAGGCCGAAAGGCGUAGUCGAUGGGAAACAGGUUAAUAUUCCUGUACUUGGUGUUACUGCGAAGGGGGGACGGAGAAGGCUAUGUUGGCCGGGCGACGGUUGUCCCGGUUUAAGCGUGUAGGCUGGUUUUCCAGGCAAAUCCGGAAAACCAAGGCUGAGGCGUGAUGACGAGGCACUACGGUGCUGAAGCGACAAAUGCCCUGCUUCCAGGAAAAGCCUCUAAGCAUCAGGUAACAUCAAAUCGUACCCCAAACCGACACAGGUGGUCAGGUAGAGAAUACCAAGGCGCUUGAGAGAACUCGGGUGAAGGAACUAGGCAAAAUGGUGCCGUAACUUCGGGAGAAGGCACGCUGAUAUGUAGGUGAAGCGACUUGCUCGUGGAGCUGAAAUCAGUCGAAGAUACCAGCUGGCUGCAACUGUUUAUUAAAAACACAGCACUGUGCAAACACGAAAGUGGACGUAUACGGUGUGACGCCUGCCCGGUGCCGGAAGGUUAAUUGAUGGGGUUAGCGGCAACGCGAAGCUCUUGAUCGAAGCCCCGGUAAACGGCGGCCGUAACUAUAACGGUCCUAAGGUAGCGAAAUUCCUUGUCGGGUAAGUUCCGACCUGCACGAAUGGCGUAAUGAUGGCCAGGCUGUCUCCACCCGAGACUCAGUGAAAUUGAACUCGCUGUGAAGAUGCAGUGUACCCGCGGCAAGACGGAAAGACCCCGUGAACCUUUACUAUAGCUUGACACUGAACAUUGAGCCUUGAUGUGUAGGAUAGGUGGGAGGCUUUGAAGUGUGGACGCCAGUCUGCAUGGAGCCGACCUUGAAAUACCACCCUUUAAUGUUUGAUGUUCUAACGUUGGCCCGUAAUCCGGGUUGCGGACAGUGUCUGGUGGGUAGUUUGACUGGGGCGGUCUCCUCCUAAAGAGUAACGGAGGAGCACGAAGGUUGGCUAAUCCUGGUCGGACAUCAGGAGGUUAGUGCAAUGGCAUAAGCCAGCUUGACUGCGAGCGUGACGGCGCGAGCAGGUGCGAAAGCAGGUCAUAGUGAUCCGGUGGUUCUGAAUGGAAGGGCCAUCGCUCAACGGAUAAAAGGUACUCCGGGGAUAACAGGCUGAUACCGCCCAAGAGUUCAUAUCGACGGCGGUGUUUGGCACCUCGAUGUCGGCUCAUCACAUCCUGGGGCUGAAGUAGGUCCCAAGGGUAUGGCUGUUCGCCAUUUAAAGUGGUACGCGAGCUGGGUUUAGAACGUCGUGAGACAGUUCGGUCCCUAUCUGCCGUGGGCGCUGGAGAACUGAGGGGGGCUGCUCCUAGUACGAGAGGACCGGAGUGGACGCAUCACUGGUGUUCGGGUUGUCAUGCCAAUGGCACUGCCCGGUAGCUAAAUGCGGAAGAGAUAAGUGCUGAAAGCAUCUAAGCACGAAACUUGCCCCGAGAUGAGUUCUCCCUGACUCCUUGAGAGUCCUGAAGGAACGUUGAAGACGACGACGUUGAUAGGCCGGGUGUGUAAGCGCAGCGAUGCGUUGAGCUAACCGGUACUAAUGAACCGUGAGGCUUAACCUUACAACGCCGAAG